Cyclopterus lumpus (lumpfish) is the source of this 1673-nucleotide long non-coding RNA. RefSeq lists it as uncharacterized. NCBI's taxonomy places the organism in Eukaryota, Metazoa, Chordata, Actinopteri, Perciformes, Cyclopteridae. The transcript is spliced from 4 exons. The record is from RefSeq and is a predicted model, not a curated record.
AAACAUGUGCAAGCAGCCUAUUACUUGCUGCUGCUGGGACUUCAUCUUUGACCAAACUGAUGAUGAUGGUGUUUUCUUUAACUUUGUUUCUUGUUUGGAUUGACAGAACUGUUCUGAGAACUGCAGCUCAAUUCAUUCAUUCGAUGGAACCUGCAAGUGUUUGAACCUCAACGAGUCCCAAGAGGAAUGUGCCUCUCCUGGUUAUGCUAUCAAAGCCCUGCAGUCCCUGCACAAAAGUAUUUCCCAUCAGGAAGCCAUAAAGCAUCUGAUCAAGGCACUGACAAAGUGGAAAACCUUUCCACAGUGUUGGGAAAAUAUGACCUUAUGUUCGUUGCCUGUGAACCUCUCACCAAAAAGCCUUCAUAAGAAACUGGAACACCUGGCACAACUGAAACGCUCAAGUAAAUAACCUCAGUUAUCUGUGGUUACCUGUGAACCUGUUUCUGCUUCAGUCAUUCGAAUUCAUUUACAUUCAGCAAUGACAGAUUAUUCUGCAGUCAUCAGUGUGAUCAUUGUAUGCUUCAAAGCAUAUUUGUCUGACUUUCUUAAAGUAUUUUAUUCCAGCUGGUUACUGAACAGAUGUUCUCACGAUUUAUGAAGCAUAAUUUGGAAUAAGAAUGGACAGUUCUUUUGGUGGAUUUUCACUCAUAUAAGAAGCUAAGCAAGUUUUAAAAAAGAGUCAGAAAAAUGUGUUGGACAGCUUUACAUCCAAUUGAUUAAAAAAAUGCUUGCCAUGUAAUUUAUUUAGGUUUUUAGUCAGUUGUCCAGAUGGAUCAGAAUGAGUAGCCUGGUUUCCUAAAAUUAUCUUCCCAUACAACAAAACUGCAUUGCCAGUUACAUUUCAAAGGAUCCCUGUUUCCCCCAGAUUAUAUUUGUGAUUAGAAAUACAUUUCUAAUCACUAACAGGAGGUUGGGUGGAUGGAUAAAAACACAAGACAACUGUUGGUGUCUCGGAAUAAACCAAAAAUCAAGUUUGACUUAUCUUUAUUCAUAUCUUAACUUAGAUAAUGUACCAAACAUACUUAUUUCGUAGUAUGUCUAGGAAAAGAGUCCCUUGACUCACAUGACUCAAGUGACUAACGACACUAACAACGCUUUGCGUGACUUACGACUGAUAUAACAAAAUAUCAAUGUUUUUAUUUUUAUUUUUUAUAUUUUUAAAGUCGAGACUUAGUAGUCUCAGUCGUAGCAACACCUGAGCAGAAUCAGAUAGUAGGUUAAGUUAAAUGAGUACAUUAUUAAAUGAAAUAAAUCUGCAGUUAUAGGUAAGGAAUAACUCAAUAACUGAUCACGAUCAAUUCAUCUCAUGAACAUGCAUCAUAUAUUUGAUUAUCAUACCUCUUAGUGUGCUGCAUGAUUAAUAUUUAGAUGUAUGAUAAAAGUACUUUUGUGGAUUAGAAAUGGUGUUUUGACAAUAUUGAUGCUGCCCAUGAAAUAUAAUGUAUUGUUUUGGACCUAUUAUUUAUGUUAUUUAUUAUUAAUUUAUCAUUGUGUUGGGCGUACGUUAAUUGAUUUAGCUUUUCAUUAUUUGUCUCCAUAUGGGUGUGGAAAAACAACAGUUGAAUUUAUGAUAAUAAAUAAUGUUAAUUAAGCUGUAUAAAGACUGAACAGUAAUGUACACAGAUCCAUGUUAUCAGGUUCUACCACCAUCCCACCUAAAUGACCAUGUCCUU